Long non-coding RNA from Passer montanus (Eurasian tree sparrow), 221 nucleotides. RefSeq lists it as uncharacterized. The record is from RefSeq and is a predicted model, not a curated record. NCBI's taxonomy places the organism in Eukaryota, Metazoa, Chordata, Aves, Passeriformes, Passeridae. The transcript is spliced from 3 exons.
GACCACCCCGUCAUCAAGUACAACGUGCUGUGGGAGGAGGGCAAGGCGGCGCUGGAGCAGCUGCUCAAGUUCAUGGUGCACCCGGCCAUCUCCAGCAUCAACCUGACGGCCGCGCUCGGCUCGCUGGCCACCAUCGCCCGCCAGCGGCCCAUGUUCAUGGCCGAGGUCAUCCAGGCCUACGAGACCCUCCACGCCAACCUGCCGCCCACGCUGGCCAAGUC